AGGGAAAAGCUCAAAUUUAAAAUCUGGCGGUCCUUGCGGCUGUCCGAGUUGUAAUUUAGAGAAGUGUCGCCCGUGUUGGACCGUGUACAAGUCUCCUGGAACGGAGCGUCGUAGAGGGUGAGAAUCCCGUAUAUGACACGGACUACCAAUGCAUUGUGGUGUGCUCUCGAA
RNAcentral lists this ribosomal RNA (171 nucleotides) under Cristinia sp. RNAcentral describes it as "partial large subunit ribosomal RNA". It matches the Rfam family "Eukaryotic large subunit ribosomal RNA", at positions 99 to 261 of the family's 3401-position model. Lineage: Eukaryota; Fungi; Basidiomycota; Agaricomycetes; Agaricales; Stephanosporaceae. The record is from RNAcentral.